CAAUAGCCGCGGUAAUACGAAGGGUGCAAGCGUUACUCGGAAUUACUGGGCGUAAAGCGUGCGUAGGUGGUGGUUUAAGUCCGUUGUGAAAGCCCUGGGCUCAACCUGGGAAUUGCAGUGGAUACUGGGUCACUAGAGUGUGGUAGAGGAUAGUGGAAUUUCCGGUGUAGCAGUGAAAUGCGUAGAGAUCGGAAGGAACAUCUGUGGCGAAGGCGACUAUCUGGGCCAACACUGACACUGAGGCACGAAAGCGUGGGGAGCAAACAGGAUUAGAUACCCCAGUAGUCCCUGUCUCUUAUAA
This 301-nucleotide ribosomal RNA is filed under the name uncultured bacterium. RNAcentral's name for it is "partial 16S ribosomal RNA". It matches the Rfam family "Bacterial small subunit ribosomal RNA", at positions 509 to 809 of the family's 1533-position model. The record is from RNAcentral.